AAUCAAGUGCCUUAAGGGUGUUCGGUGGAUGCCUUGGCGCUGAGAGGCGAUGAAGGACGUGCUACGCUGCGAUAAGCCGUGGGGAGCUGCGAAGAAGCUUUGAUCCGCGGAUUUCCGAAUGGGGAAACCCACCUUCGAUAGCCGGAACUCCAAGACCUUGUGUGUUGGGGUUCGACCAGAAAUGCGAGAAAUCAAACCGCGAGGUUUUGGAUUUCCGGUUAUCAAGAGAAGGUAUGAGACCUCCGAAUAAAAUAGGAGGUUUUAAGCAAACCCAGGGAACUGAAACAUCUAAGUACCUGGAGGAAAGGACAUCAAUCGAGACUCCGUUAGUAGUGGCGAGCGAACGCGGACCAGGCCAGUGAUACAUCAAAGACAAUCGGAACCUGUCAGGAAAGCAGGGCCUCAGAGGGUGAUAGCCCCGUACGAGUAAUGCGAUGAUGUAUCCACGAGUACGGCGG
Molecule: ribosomal RNA, 458 nt
Filed under: Bradyrhizobium elkanii
Lineage: Bacteria; Pseudomonadati; Pseudomonadota; Alphaproteobacteria; Hyphomicrobiales; Nitrobacteraceae
Description: bacterial LSU rRNA
Rfam family: Bacterial large subunit ribosomal RNA
Source: RNAcentral